UACGUAGGGUGCAAGCGUUGUCCGGAUUUAUUGGGCGUAAAGAGCUCGUAGGUGGCCUGCCGCGUCGGAUGUGAAAACCCGGGGCUCAACCCCGGGCCUGCAUUCGAUACGGGCAGGCUAGAGGAUGGCAGGGGAAACUGGAAUUCCUGGUGUAGCGGUGAAAUGCGCAGAUAUCAGGAGGAACACCGGUGGCGAAGGCGGGUUUCUGGGCCAUUCCUGACACUGAGGAGCGAAAGCGUGGGGAGCAAACAGG
Molecule: ribosomal RNA, 253 nt
Filed under: uncultured bacterium
Lineage: Bacteria
Description: partial 16S ribosomal RNA
Rfam family: Bacterial small subunit ribosomal RNA
Source: RNAcentral